CUCCCUCAUUUAACUUGCAAUAUAGUCUCUAUUCUUGAAUAUCCGAGACAAAUGUGUUCGCUUUAGUCUUUACCCAUUAACAGCUAAGACUUGAUCUUUCAUUUGCUUCUCCAAAUCAUAGCUAAAUUCUACCCACUCGAUCUCUUAUUAUGAUUUUUUACAGCUGCCCCUUAUCUAGACUUAGUAAAGCCAUGUGCUUUUCAUCUACAUUAAUUCCAUCAAACUUAAUUAACAUGUUUUUUAAUCAUUUAUACUAAUAUAAAAGUUGUAUUAGUACAUGUUCGUGUUUAUUCUGAACUAAAUAGUUUCAAGCGCAUGGCGUAGGCA
This 327-nucleotide long non-coding RNA is filed under the name Elaeis guineensis (African oil palm). RNAcentral's name for it is "long non-coding RNA (EGUI_LNC023054)". Lineage: Eukaryota; Viridiplantae; Streptophyta; Magnoliopsida; Arecales; Arecaceae. The record is from RNAcentral.